This 112-nucleotide ribosomal RNA is filed under the name Chinchilla lanigera (long-tailed chinchilla). The record is from RNAcentral. Lineage: Eukaryota; Metazoa; Chordata; Mammalia; Rodentia; Chinchillidae.
GUCUACGGCCAUACCAUCCCAACACACCCAAUCUCGUCUGAUCUCAGAAGCUAAGCAGGGUCAGGCCUGGUUAUAUUUGGAUAGGAAGAGACAACCUACAGAAUGGAGGAAA